This 254-nucleotide ribosomal RNA is filed under the name uncultured bacterium. RNAcentral's name for it is "partial 16S ribosomal RNA". It matches the Rfam family "Bacterial small subunit ribosomal RNA", at positions 524 to 776 of the family's 1533-position model. The record is from RNAcentral.
UACAGAGGUCUCAAGCGUUGCUCGGAUUCAUUGGGCGUAAAGGGUGCGUAGGCGGCGCGGUAAGUCGGGUGUGAAAUCUCGGGGCUUAACUCCGAAACUGCAUUCGAUACUGCCGUGCUUGAGGACUGGAGAGGAGACUGGAAUUUACGGUGUAGCGGUGAAAUGCGUAGAUAUCGUAAGGAAGACCAGUGGCGAAGGCGGGUCUCUGGGCCACUACUGACGCUGAGAAGCGAAAGCAUGGGGGAGCGAACAGG